AUUGAACGCUGGCGGCAUGCCUUACACAUGCAAGUCGAACGGCAGCGCGGGGCAACCUGGCGGCGAGUGGCGAACGGGUGAGUAACAUAUCGGAACAUACCCUAGAGUGGGGGAUAACGUAGCGAAAGUUACGCUAAUACCGCAUACGCACUAAGGUGGAAAGUGGGGGAUCUUCGGACCUCAUGCUCAUGGAGUGGCCGAUAUCUGAUUAGCUAGUUGGUGAGGUAAAGGCUCACCAAGGCGACGAUCAGUAGCUGGUUUGAGAGAACGACCAGCCACACUGGAACUGAGACACGGUCCAGACUCCUACGGGAGGCAGCAGUGGGGAAUUUUGGACAAUGGGGGCAACCCUGAUCCAGCAAUGCCGCGUGAGUGAAGAAGGCCUUCGGGUUGU
This 394-nucleotide ribosomal RNA is filed under the name uncultured bacterium. RNAcentral's name for it is "bacterial SSU rRNA". It matches the Rfam family "Bacterial small subunit ribosomal RNA", at positions 30 to 426 of the family's 1533-position model. The record is from RNAcentral.